CAGCGGGUGAGAGUCCCGCAUGGGUAAAGGCAGGAAAGCCCGGUAGCAGACCCUGGUUCGUCGAGAGGCGGUGGGCUGAGCAAGGUGUAAAAAGCCUCUUUGGGAGGAGCAAGCGUGUGGGUCGUAGGUCCA
This is a non-coding RNA of Ferrimicrobium acidiphilum DSM 19497, 132 nucleotides long. NCBI's taxonomy places the organism in Bacteria, Bacillati, Actinomycetota, Acidimicrobiia, Acidimicrobiales, Acidimicrobiaceae. The record is from Rfam.